This 264-nucleotide long non-coding RNA is filed under the name Daucus carota (carrot). RNAcentral's name for it is "long non-coding RNA (DCAR_LNC006598)". Lineage: Eukaryota; Viridiplantae; Streptophyta; Magnoliopsida; Apiales; Apiaceae. The record is from RNAcentral.
UCACCCCCAACUCCUACCGCAUGGCGGUCUGCCUCUACAUCCUCUAUGACAUCCACCAUGGGGUGAGGAUGUCUGCCUUGGAGUUGGGCUGGUUCUUCCAACUAAAACUUACCGGCAGGACCCCCGGUUUCUUCUACCUCACUGCCUGGAACACCCAUCAUAAGAAGGGCAUCAAGGGCAACCGCUAGUCGAUGUCGGACUGGCAGAAGCUCUUCCUUUACUGCUAUGACUGCCCAGUCUACAGGAAGGACUUCAAUCUCUCCC